AAAUAUCAACUCUCAAAAAUAUUUCUACUUGUGUACAAAUAAUACAUAGUUCCAAAAGCAAAAUAUCUACACUACUUUUGCCUUCUUUCACAAGGUAACAAUUAGCUUAUUCAAAUAUCUCACUGCAAGAGUAAUUUGUAUAUAUAUAUACUAGAUCAGUGUUUUAUUAUUGCUGCAUGCUCUCCCUGAAGUUCAUAGAUCUAGACAUCGCUGCAGGGUUUUCUUGUAGAUUGAUAGACGUUUCAGGGACCAAGCUUCUUCUGUUGCUACCCUUUGUUUCAAAUCUAUUGAACAAACUUAAUCCUCCUUCCGUAUUCUUCUCAGGCUUUGUUGGUAACUCAGGGUACACCACGUUCUUAGUAGCUUCACUAGUUCUAAGAGUAGUAUUUUUGGUUUCUACUUCAGUUUGAUCCCUUGCUCGUUUCCCUAAACAUGGUGAAGUCUCUGAGAUAGGCCAUAUAGGAACCGUGC
Molecule: long non-coding RNA, 471 nt
Filed under: Brassica rapa (field mustard)
Lineage: Eukaryota; Viridiplantae; Streptophyta; Magnoliopsida; Brassicales; Brassicaceae
Description: long non-coding RNA (BRAP_LNC005501)
Source: RNAcentral